AAAUCGGAUGGUUGCCGUGUCUGUGUAGAAAGAAGUAGACAUGGGAGACUUUUCAUUUUGUUCUCUACUAAGAAAAAUUCUUCUGCCUUGGGAUCCUGUUGAUCUGUGACCUUACCCCCAACCCUGUGCUCUCUGAAACAUGUGCUGUGUCCACUCAGGGUUAAAUGGAUUAAGGGCGGUGCAAGAUGUGCUUUGUUGAACAGAUGCUUGAGGGCAGCAUGCUCGUUAAGAGUCAUCACCACUCCUUAAUCUCAAGUGCCCAGUGACACAGACACUGCGGAGGGCCGCAGGGUCCUCUGCCUAGGAAAACCAGAGACCUUUGUUCACUUGUUUAUCUGCUGACCUUCCCUCCACUAUUGUCCUGUGACCCUGCCAAAUCCCCCUCUGCGAGAAACACCCAAGAAUGAUCAAUAAAAAAAAAAAAAAAUGUAAGGGAAAUUCCUAGAAUCCUGAAACAAAUAGGGGACUGAUUGCCAGAGUCGAAAGAAUUGAGUUGUGAAGCUUAUGCUACACGAGAGCCCACCAAAGGCUAUGUUGUCAGGGAAAAAAAUGAAAUAAGAAAACCCAGGUAGAGGUACAAACAAAGAAGCUGGGCUCCAUGUGAGAAAAAUGUUUUGUUUUGUUUGCUACAGAGUCUUGCUCUGUCACCCAGUGGUGGCACACACCUGUGGUCCCAGCUACUCGGGGCUGAGGUGGGAGGAUCACCUGAGCCCAGGACGGUUGAGGCUGCAGUGAGCAGAGAUCAUGCCACUGCACUCCAGCCUGGGAGAUAGAGCAGUGAGACACUGUCUUGAAAAGAUAAAUAAAAUAGUUGAAAAAUAAUUCAUUAUGAGUGAAAACCAACAGAUUUUUAAAAACAGAG
This 862-nucleotide long non-coding RNA is filed under the name Homo sapiens (human). Its description in RNAcentral is "long non-coding RNA NONHSAT245456". Lineage: Eukaryota; Metazoa; Chordata; Mammalia; Primates; Hominidae. The record is from RNAcentral.